AACCUUCUGGUUUACCUUCUCUGAUGGCUUUAACUGUCUCUCCGGCCACCUCCAGCCUCACAUCUUUCGAUCACCAGCCGUCGUGAAGCCUUACCUCACCGGUUCUCUGUCUCUGAAACCCCAUGAGUCUAUGUGAUACAAGAUGGUCACUGAAGAUUUUUGGGGUUUACUUCCGGCCUUUCUCCAAUGGAUUUCGGUCUGAUGGUGCAGUAAACACCAUUAUUUUCGAGUUUCACAGCCAAGUUUCUCUUGUUUCUCUCACAGGUUUCAUAUGAAACCCUAAUCUUGAUCCAAACCUCUGAUUUUUAAUGAUUUUAGCUCGUACCUUUAUGUUUUGCACUAUUUUCUACUCGAUCUUUACGAUUACUCUGGUUUUAAAUGCUUUUGUUCCCUUUUUGAAACAAGGGUUUCUCAACCCCUUUUCAAAAUCACUUUAUUUUCUGAUUUUGAGUACUAACUCAUGAUUUUCAAUACUAUUUCUAAUCACUUUUUUGCUUAAGUCUAAUGAAACCUUAGCUGUAUGUUUGUGUUUGUAUUAUUUGUUCGAUUGUGUGUUCUUCUAGGUUCUUCUGUAAGUUUCGUGUUCUUUGCUUUAAUUUUGGUUUCUAGUGUUUCAUUCUCCUACCAGCUUGUGUUCUCCGUUUAAGGUUUCUUUAAUUGUUUGCGUGACGAUUUUAUACUGAUUCUUACAAGCCCUCGUUGAGACUACGAUAUUUGCCUUAUAUUGUGAUUCUGCAUACUUUCCUUAUGGUUUGGUACUGAUUUCAAAUUGCUUCCUUAAUUUGUGGGAUACUUUCCUCGGUUAAUACUGAUUUCCUAGGUUUUCAAUCUCGUCCAUUAGUCUGAAAACUAUUUUCCAGAAUUAAAGUGGUAUUUUGCCCUAUAUAUGUGCACAAAUAUGCUGAUUGAUUUGCCUGACCUAUUUCCCUAACUAUAGUAUCAUUCACCUAGUCUUUAUUGCAUACUCUAUGCUAUUCUGUUUCUUUAUGUGAUCAUACCAUGCAUGUAAUUUCUUUCCUUUUAAAUAGCUGCUCAUUACCGUUUGACUUUGAUUCAUUAAUUAAAGGGGAGCC
Molecule: long non-coding RNA, 1073 nt
Filed under: Nicotiana benthamiana
Lineage: Eukaryota; Viridiplantae; Streptophyta; Magnoliopsida; Solanales; Solanaceae
Description: long non-coding RNA (NBEN_LNC039754)
Source: RNAcentral